UCUAAUAUGGCAGAAUAGUGCGAUGAAUUUAAGCUUCAUAUAUAAAGAUUUUUCUUUUAUUAGAA
Molecule: transfer RNA, 65 nt
Filed under: unidentified
Description: Dimorphopterus gibbus tRNA-Leu
Source: RNAcentral